GUUUGUGGCAAGACCUUCUCAAUCUCGUCAGACGUCAGAAACUAAGGAGAGCUGGGCCUGGUUAGUGCUUGGAUGGGAGACCACUGGGAAUUCCAGGUGCCACAGAAA
This 108-nucleotide ribosomal RNA is filed under the name Periophthalmus magnuspinnatus. The record is from RNAcentral. Lineage: Eukaryota; Metazoa; Chordata; Actinopteri; Gobiiformes; Gobiidae.